UUUGAUCCUGGCUCAGAACGAACGCUGGCGGCAGGCUUAACACAUGCAAGUCGAGCGCCCCGCAAGGGGAGCGGCAGACGGGUGAGUAACGCGUGGGAAUCUACCCUUUUCUACGGAAUAACGCAUGGAAACGUGUGCUAAUACCGUAUGAGCCCUUCGGGGGAAAGAUUUAUCGGGAAAGGAUGAGCCCGCGUUGGAUUAGCUAGUUGGUGGGGUAAAGGCCUACCAAGGCGACGAUCCAUAGCUGGUCUGAGAGGAUGAUCAGCCACAUUGGGACUGAGACACGGCCCAAACUCCUACGGGAGGCAGCAGUGGGGAAUAUUGGACAAUGGGCGCAAGCCUGAUCCAGCCAUGCCGCGUGAGUGAUGAAGGCCCUAGGGUUGUAAAGCUCUUUCACCGGUGAAGAUAAUGA
RNAcentral lists this ribosomal RNA (412 nucleotides) under Sinorhizobium sp. R-32549. RNAcentral's name for it is "bacterial SSU rRNA". It matches the Rfam family "Bacterial small subunit ribosomal RNA", at positions 12 to 454 of the family's 1533-position model. Lineage: Bacteria; Pseudomonadati; Pseudomonadota; Alphaproteobacteria; Hyphomicrobiales; Rhizobiaceae. The record is from RNAcentral.